RNAcentral lists this ribosomal RNA (564 nucleotides) under Triticum aestivum (bread wheat). RNAcentral's name for it is "partial small subunit ribosomal RNA". Lineage: Eukaryota; Viridiplantae; Streptophyta; Magnoliopsida; Poales; Poaceae. The record is from RNAcentral.
AUGAUAGUGAUAGAUGAGCUUCCAUUCAUAUUCACAGAGAAAGAAGGUUUUAGGUUGUUCAUGGCAAAAGCUUGCCCAAGGUUCACUGUACCAUCUAGGACAACUAUGUAUAGAGAUAUCAUUGCUCUUUAUGAAGCUGACAAAGCUAUGCUUAGAAAAUAUUUCACUAAAUCACGUCAAACUUCUGGGUGGAAUCUUAGAAAAAAAUUUAUUAACUUUGUCUUGGUAGAUGGACACAAAGGGGAUGACAUUGGGAAAUCAUUAGAAAAAUUACUUAUUGAGUGGGGCAUUGAGCGAGUGUGCACUAUUAUUGUUGAUAAUGCAAGUUCUAAUGACACUUGCUUAGCCUACAUGAAGAGUUCUUUGACUAAUAGGGUCUAUACACAUGCAAAAAGUCAGUAUCUUCACAUGAUGUGUGUGGCACAUAUUGUUAAUCUAGUGGUCCAAGAUGGGCUAAAGAUAAUGUGCCAUCCAAUAAAUAGAAUUCGAAGUGCUAUCAAGCUUCUGAGAGCCUCCCCAACUAGAUUGGAUUUUUUAAAAAGUGUGUGCAGCUUAGCAAGGUAG